RNAcentral lists this ribosomal RNA (503 nucleotides) under Salmonella enterica subsp. enterica serovar Typhimurium. Its description in RNAcentral is "partial 23S ribosomal RNA". It matches the Rfam family "Bacterial large subunit ribosomal RNA", at positions 2357 to 2854 of the family's 2925-position model. The record is from RNAcentral. Lineage: Bacteria; Pseudomonadati; Pseudomonadota; Gammaproteobacteria; Enterobacterales; Enterobacteriaceae.
GCAUAAGCCAGCUUGACUGCGAGCGUGACGGCGCGAGCAGGUGCGAAAGCAGGUCAUAGUGAUCCGGUGGUUCUGAAUGGAAGGGCCAUCGCUCAACGGAUAAAAGGUACUCCGGGGAUAACAGGCUGAUACCGCCCAAGAGUUCAUAUCGACGGCGGUGUUUGGCACCUCGAUGUCGGCUCAUCACAUCCUGGGGCUGAAGUAGGUCCCAAGGGUAUGGCUGUUCGCCAUUUAAAGUGGUACGCGAGCUGGGUUUAGAACGUCGUGAGACAGUUCGGUCCCUAUCUGCCGUGGGCGCUGGAGAACUGAGGGGGGCUGCUCCUAGUACGAGAGGACCGGAGUGGACGCAUCACUGGUGUUCGGGUUGUCAUGCCAAUGGCACUGCCCGGUAGCUAAAUGCGGAAGAGAUAAGUGCUGAAAGCAUCUAAGCACGAAACUUGCCCCGAGAUGAGUUCUCCCUGAGACUUAGAGUCUCCUGAAGGAACGUUGAAGACGACGACGUU